Molecule: ribosomal RNA, 504 nt
Filed under: uncultured bacterium
Lineage: Bacteria
Description: partial 16S ribosomal RNA
Rfam family: Bacterial small subunit ribosomal RNA
Source: RNAcentral
GACGAACGCUGGCGGCGUGCUUAACACAUGCAAGUCGAACGGUGAAGCGCUUGCCUUUUUGGUGGGUGUGGAUGAGUGGCGAACGGGUGAGUAACACGUGAGUAACCUGCCCUCUUCUUCUGGAUAACCUCAUGAAAGUGGGGCUAAUACGGGGUAUUCCGGGUCUGUCGCAUGGCGGGUUUGGGAAAGAUUGCGCCUUUGGGUGUUUUCGGUGGGGGAUGGGCUCGCGGUCUAUCAGCUUGUUGGUGGGGUGAUGGCCUACCAAGGCGGUGACGGGUAGCCGGCCUGAGAGGGUGGACGGCCACACUGGGACUGAGACACGGCCCAGACUCCUGCGGGAGGCAGCAGUGGGGAAUAUUGCACAAUGGGCGCAAGCCUGAUGCAGCGACGCCGCGUGAGGGAUGGAGGCCUUCGGGUUGUGAACCUCUUUCGCCAGUGAAGCAGGCCUGCUCCUGUGUGGGUGGGUUGACGGUAGCUGGAUAAGAAGCGCCGGCUAACUACGUG